CACAACCUCUGAGGAUGCCUGCCAUAGAUGUGGGCGAAACGUCAGGAGAGAAUGCUUCUGGAACAUGGCCACACAGCCCGAAAGACAUACAACAACCCUGUGAUCCCGGCCAUGAAAGCCUUCGACAACACAUAACACUAAAGGUUGCCACAUUUGCAAUUGCAGCCCAAAAGAUCAGAGCUAAGGUAGCAAAAUCCAUACUUGAGGACAGAAAUGGAAAUGGUGAUGGUUUGGGAUGAUACAAAUCAGACACUGUCAUUGUUAUGUUGCUGCUAUCAUAAUUUUAAAGAGCUAGUUUUAAUUUUUGAAUAAGUUUUAAUGUUUUUAUUGGAAAGUGUUUAUAAAGGUUGUAUAUUACUGAUGUCAUGGCCUAUGGCUAGUACAAUAAACAAUUCAUUCAUUCAUUCAUAGAUAGGCUGAAAGAUCAAGUUUGGAUUGUUACAUACUGAUUUGUUAUACUAAAAUGAACUUCCUAUGACAUUUUUAAAGUUUUUUAUUAUAAAGAUGGCUUGUAAUUAUAGCUGGUUCUCCCCAUUUACAAGUCUCCUUUUCGUGAAUUUGAUUAUUCAAUACUUUGUACAGUACAACAGCUGCUGCUGAAUUACUGCAAUUCAGCUUCCUUUCUCCCUCCACCUUUACCCCUUACUUUUUCUGUCCUGCUAACACUCCCAGUGCCUAACAUCCAGUUUUAAAACUGGGAGUUAGGCAUGGAGGCAUUAAGACAGGUUGGCGGCGAGAAAGAAUCAGAGGCCAACACCCCAGUGGUGGUGGUGGUGGUGGUGGUGGUGGUGGUGAUGAUGAUGAUGAUGAUGAUGAUGAUGAUGAUGAUAAUAAUAAUAAUACUUUAUUCUUAUAUCCCACCCCAUCUCUCCAAGGGGACUCAGGGCGACUUACAAAGGGACCAUGCCCAAACAAUAUAAAAAUACAACCGUAAAAACAAAUCCAAUCACAGCAAUAAAUACAUCAAGAAAUAACAUACAACAACAACGAUUUAAAAACAAUUAAAACAUGUUCAAUGCCCUGGAGCGGUAUAGUGUUCCCUCACUUAUCACAGGGGUUAGGUUCCAGGACCACCCGCAAUAAGUGAAGAUCCGCAAAGUAGGGACGCUAUAUUUAUUUUAAUAUUUAUACAUUAUUUUAAUAGUUAUAUACUAUUUUAAGCCUUUAUCAACCAAUCGUGUGUUGAUAAAUCGCCUUCUUCUCCUGUUGCCGCUUGGGCUCCUUUUCUCUCCCUUCGGCUUCUCCUUCCUCCCUUCCUUAGGCUGUAAAUUGUAUUUUUUUACGAUUUAUAAUCUUUUAGAGUUUAUUGAAAAACCGCAAAACAGUGAAUCCGCGAAAAGUGAACCACAAAGUAGUGACGGAACACUAGUUGGUACUUCAAUCUUCAGACUAAGGGCGAGGAAUAAGGUUAACAAAGUGCAAUGCUUUAUAACUUCUAGUGGAAUGGUAUAGCAAUAAGGUGCAAAGUGUUGGAAUAAGAAGCAGUAGGGGCUCACUUUGAUGGUCUUCUUAAUUAAAAAUGGUUUGAAAAACCAGGUUUUCAGAUCUUUCCUGAAGGAGGUCAGUGUGGGCAACGGCUGCUUCUUUUAGUUUUAGUUUUAGUGCCCUAGUAGUUGGAAGAGUUUUACAAAAUGGGGUGAGGUCUGAUGGUACUAUGGCAGAAAAGGGACGUACAGGCUGGGACAGUCGGCUGAAAAGAAGCAAGGCUUAUGAUAUUCAUAGUUUUUCACACUUCCACAGAGGUCCUGCACACCUUAUCCUAGCAAAUGUGGAGGGCUGACUGUACUUUUAUGUAGUUAGACAGUAGAAAAACAUCAAACCAACCAUCAUGCAGAGAAUUCAAAGGCUAAUUUUACUGGUAGGAUUCUAACAGACAUAGUGUUGCCUUUCCCAUUACGUGACUCUACGACACCAGUUUUACAUAGUAGCAUUGCUUUCAGGAAAUACUCAAGCUGAAGCUUAGCUCAGCAUUAUAAAAGCCCCACAUGCCACAAGCCUCUAAAUCUUUGAGAUUGAGAGCUAGUGUUUUCCAAAAUAAUUUGGCAAACUGAGGAAGGUAUCUACUCUUUUGUUGGUGCCUUUAAAUUUUUCUCUAUUACAGUACUUUGAGACUUUGUUUUAUUCUAAGACCACCCAGAAUUUGCGGGCUUCACAUAGUAACCAUAUAGAGAUUUUGUUGGCAAAUUAUGUGUACCAUUCAAAAUGUAGCAUCUUUUUUUCUUGGCCAUUCCUGUCUGGGAAACGAAAUUCAUAGAAGAACUUCUGAGCCAGGUUAUAUCCAAGUCCCAUCAUUUUAUUAAUCUCUUGUUUUCCUCAUGUUUAUAGUGAAACCUCAAACAAUAAAAUAGCAGUAAAUCAGUUUCUGCGUACAGUAAUAGCAUUGUUAAUUGAACUGUACAAAGCUCUCUGUGUAGUUGAAUUAAGUUUUCUCUUGGUAUAUUUUUGAAUUGCCAUUAACAGGCUAACCAGUGUACAUAAUAGACUGACAAGCCGAAUUUGAAAGGAAAAAUUCAGCCAACAUCUUUGCCAUCCAAAGAGGCUGAUUUGGAUGGACUAGACAUGUAACACAUUGAAAGAAUGAUAGAUCUGAGAUACACUUGAAGGGAUAAUUGUAUAUACAAUCAGUUUAAAUGCUGGUAAAUAUUUAAGGGUCAAGGGUUAAAUGUCACAGUUACAAUACUUAGGCUCUGGUCCAUAAGGUAUCAAGAAUGGUAAUUAAAUCCAGGGUAUAUUUCAACAAAGGGAAGUAAAUUUGACAGCUAACAACCCAAACUGGAUUACCACCUUUCAGAGGUUAGGGAGCAUGCAAGUAAUUGUAGGUGGUUUACAGUUGUUAACAUAGUAAGUACAAUGAUUACUGUCUUUGAGGUGGGUAGCAUGGAGUUUAACAAUACUAAUUUUGAUCUUUCAGAAAAAGUGGGUGGGCAUAUUUUUCAACACACGUUUGUAACCAUUUUAUACUUGUCACUUUCUAGGAUAGCUUCUACAUUUAACGUCCUCAAGCUACUCUGCCAGUAUUACUAAGCAAAUAAAAUACAGUUCAUCCAUUUGUCAGUUAAAUGUUGUGUUUGAUUUUAUGACCAAAACUGAAACUUGAACAGCAAGAUUUGUGCUCGUAAAAGUGUAUUUUAACUGCAGUUAAAAAUUUAAUUCCAUCUUUAUUCUUUUUCAAAUACCUAUUUUGUAAUAAAUGUGUUAGUCUGUAAUUGAUUGCUGUGCUUUUAGAUUUUGAACAAAAGAUUUACAAUUUCAUGUACAGUAAUAUUAAAUAUAUUGUAAAAAGAUUAUUCAUUUGGAAUGGAUUUUGUGUAGUUUAAUAAGAAACAUUGUCCAGUAUAUCAAGACUGUAGCUGAUUAUACUUUUACUUGGAUAAAGAUAACAGAAGGUUUAAAAUGGCCAAGGGUAAUUACUUUGGUGCAAAUGAGUUAGAUGAGAUGAAGCAUAAAGAUAAAUCUUUUCCCACUGUUUGCAGAUUUCCUGCUGGAACAGAAUAUUCCCCUUGAUUCAGCAUGAAGGAAGUCUUGUAUGAGCAGCAUAAAAGAAGCAGAUACCUAUUCUUGACUUCACUGUAGGAUUUGUUUCCCAUGGUGUCUUUUAAAACUUAGUAUGAGCAGGCAGUCCUAAUGUGUGGUGCGCCUUGGGUUUGUCUCUUAGGUCCUCCUGUUUCCUCCUUGUGGGGCCCAGCAUUUCCAAUGUCUGCUGUAGAUUUGGGUCUUCCUCUCCGAGAGGCAAACGCUGAUCUGCAGAUCCUGUUCAGGCCUGUGGGAAAGUACCACAAAGCAAUAGCUAUUAAUACCGUUCUUUUCCCAUUUAGUGUGAAAGGAACUCUCAACAGGAAGGUUGGAAUAGUUUGCAGAGCAAUUCCAUGCUUUUAACUCCUUGCGUCCUAUGCUAUUGAAACUUCUUGUAGUGGUGGGAUAGGGGGAAGAGGGGUUUUGCGUAAAAGACAUAUACAGCCAUCAAUUCUAAAAGGACUCAAAAAGCAAAAACGUGGUUAUCACAUUUAAACAAGAGCAACAAACUGAUGCAGUCUAGCAAGAUGAAACACUUACCAUUAGGACACCUUGAACACAUGUGAAUGUCCACCUUACUGUAGAUUAGUCUAUCGUGUCACAAACUCAUGUUGGGUUACAUUGCAAAGUCUCAUCAAUAUUGGUGGCUUAAAUCCUUGUGCUGGCUGAACUGCUGACUGAAAGGUUGGCAGUUCGAAUCUGAGGAGCAGGGUGAGCACCCAUCUAUCAGCUCUAGCUUCCCAUGCGGGGACAUGAGAGAAGCCACACACAGGAUGGUAAAACACCAAAAUAUCCGGACGUCCCCUGGGCAACAUCCUUGCAGACAGCCAAUUCUCUCACACCAGAAGUGACUUGCAGUUUCUCAAGUUGCUCCUGACACGAAAAAAACAAAAACAAAAUUGGUUCUUAAAUUUCCGUGUCUUGUCAUCAGAAAAAAAAUACAGAUGCUAUAAAAUCAAUGUGCCACAUUAGCUACAUUCUUUUUGGUGUUUUUAAAAAAAGCAAAAUGGCUGCACAGCUGCAAAUGAAACCAUUUAUAAUUUCCUCAAAAUUGGGAGAAAGUUUGCAGUUGUCAUUGCUAAGUAACAUGCUUCCAUAAAUGUUUUUGAAUAUAAUUGUGACUGUGCUCCUAGGUACAUACUGAAACAUUCUUGAGUUCCAAGAAUUCAGUGUCACUUAAGCAGCCCUUUACAUUCAUUCAUCCAUAUUUAUAUCGCAUAUUUCUGUGAACUCGGUCUGAACGACCAUUUCAUUAUCAGUAUUCUUAUUAAAAGUAGUAGUAACAUCUGUUUCUAUCCCCAGAGAGUUUAGGAUUAUUAGGUUUGACUGGCAUGAAAAAACAAAGGAGGCCAACACUCUCCAAGACCUCACUCUCUUCCUUUCAAUAACAUUUUGCAUCCCCGCUACUGUGAUUCAGUAUGUUUUAACUGGUUUUAACUUUAAUUGGUUUGAUAAUUUAAUUACUUUUUAGCUUCUGUGUGGUGAAUUUUUACCUCAUUUUUUAAAAUUGUAAACUGCCUCUAGUCUCGAACUGGGAAACAGAAGGGGCAAUACUGUUGUUGCUGAACUUAUUGCAUUCUCCCAAAAUGCAGCUCUCCAACAACUUAUACUUUAGUAGUUCCCAAAUCCAAAGUAGAAUGCUUAACACUCUCAUAGAAGCCAAAAAUAAAUACUUCCACAUCUUGAUCCAACCCUGUCUGCUUUUAUUAAACAACUUAAGACUUGGUUCUUUCAGCGCACUUUCGAUUAAACAAGAAACUAUAGACCCCUUGACAACCAUGCUGCCAUCCUGCACUUUAUCUCUAUACCCACCCCAUCCUGCCCCUAAUGUUAUCUUGGAAUUUUUUUUUUUGAAUACUCGGUCAGGCACUUUAUGGAAUAACCCAGUUACUACGCACUUUACUUCGACCCUCUUUUAUUCCUUUGUCCCUUGGUGAAAUUGAUAUGGUUUUAAAACUUCUUAUUUUAUGUAUUUAUGUAUAAUUGUGCUUGAAUUCAUUUUUGAUUUUAUUCUGCUUGUUAUUUUAUUGUUUGGUUUUAUAUUUUAGCUUGUUUAUACUUUGUUUUUCUGGACUUGGCCCCAUGUUAGCCACCCCGAGUCCCUUCAGGAAGAUGGUGGCGGGAUACAAAAAUAAAGUAUUAUUAUUAUUAUUAUUAUUAUUAUUAUUAUUAUUAUUAUUAUCUUUCAUUCGUAUUUUUGUUUCCUUGAAAUUGCAACAUAAUAACGAUAAUAAUAAUAAUACAGUAGAGUCUCACUUAUCCAAGCUAAACGGGCCGGCAGAAGCUUGGAUAAGCGAAUAUGUUGGAUAAUAAGGAGGGAUUAAGGAAAAGCCUAUUAAACAUCAAAUUAGGUUAUGAUUUUACAAAUUAAGCUCCAAAAUGUCAUAUUAUACAACAAAUUUGACAGAAAAAGUAGUUCAAUACGCAGUAAUGUUAUGUUGUAAUUACUGUAUUUACGAAUUUAGCACCAAAAUAUCAUGAUAUAUUGAAAACAUUGACUACAAAAAUGGCUUGGAUAAUCCAGAAGCUUGGAUAAGAGAGGCUCGGAUAAGUGAGACUCUACUGUAAUAAUAAUAAUAAUAAUAAUAAUAAUAAUAAUAAUAAUAAUGAUGAUAAUAAUAAUAAUAAUAAUACUUUAUUUGUAUGACACUCUAUCUCCCCGAGGGGAGCAGCUUCCAACAUAAUAACAGGCAAACAUUCAAUGCCUAUACAGACAAAAAAUAAAAUAAAAUAACAGGAAUAAUCAAUAUUAUACAAUAAGGUAAAACAACACUGACGUUAACUUUAAAUAAUUAUCGUUAAAAUAGUUUAAAAGACCAGCUGAACUAGAGUGAUAUAUCAGUUCCCUUAUAUUCCACUUAGUUUGUGCUGUAAACUUUAUUCCUCCUUCUCAUUAAGCCAACGAGCCUUCCUCUGGGUCAUUAGCAGCAGAUAAAUGAUAUAACAGUGGUUAUUUUAAUAAUUUUAACUGUUUUAUGUGCUGUUUUAUAUUGGUUUGUAUGGGCAUCUAAUUGUUGCCACUGUUGUAAGCCGCCCUGAGUCCCUUCGGGUGAGAAGGGCGGGAUUCAAAUGUGAGAAAUAAAUAAAUAAUUUUAACUGUUUUUAAUUGUUCUUAAACUGAUUCGUUUUGUUAUUUUAUAGGUUUAAUAGAUUUAUAUGUUCUAUUUAAUUAUUUAAACUUUUUGAGUAGUUGUGUUGUCGAAGGCUUUCAUGGCCGGAAUCUCUGAGAAUGCUUCUGGAACGUGGCCUUACAGUCUGAAAGCUCACAGCAAGCCUUUGUGAGUAGUUGUUAUAAUUUGUUAUAGAUUUUUAAUUCAUGGAUUAUUUGUUCAUUUUGUAUUGUUUUAUGGCAUUGAAUGUUUGCCAUCCUUUGUUGGAAGCCGCCCUGAGUCCCCUCAGGGAGAUAGGGCAGUUAUAAAUAAAAUUAUUAUUUAUUAUUAUCAGUUAUCCAGACACAAAUUUGGAAAAUAGUUGAUAUGAAAAUUUUAUAUGUAUCGUGCUGACAAUAGAUAUAUAUUUUUCUAAAAAAAACCCAGCAUUUCAUUAUUUUAACAUUUUUUUGCCUGUUAAGGCAAAAGAUGAACAUAUAUAUUCUUUUCCCUGCACUUACAUUAAAAACAAACCCUGUCUUAGAGGAAAUCUAGGCAAUUAAGUAGAGAAAGCUGAUUUGGAGUUUUACUGCAUACGAAUGUUAACUUUUGCAAUCUUUCUGAAACAUUAUGCUUUAAAGAAUGUCUUAUCAACAGAUAACAUAUAGGAGCAGCUGGAUAUCAUUAAAACCCUGUGCAUGAAUCAUUUCUCUUCAUUACCUUUUCCAUGACAACUUUUACCUUUUAUAGAAAAUAUUUCUUUGUGGAGCUUUAUCAUUCGGUUAUCUUCUGUUGGAAAUUUAAACCUAUUUGUUGUUGGAAUGAGCGAUUUGCUAGACAUACCAAUAUAAACUUCUGUAAAAAAAACACAUUUCUGAAAAAAUAGCAACAUGAAAACAUGAGUGUAUGCAACAUUCUCAUUAACAGCAUUGUCCCAGCGGUUCUGCAUCCAUCACAGAAUACUCAUUCCUCAAAAGAAGCCAGUCAUGUUGCUUAAGUAUGAAAGAUGGUUAAGCAUGUUUAUAGCAUUUUCUACUGCAGCUAAACCCUAAUUUUAGGUAUUAAAUCAGCUGUAAAUUUCAACUGUUCAGUGUGUUUUUUAAUAUCCCCUGUAUACAUUAUUUCAGAAACUUAAUUAAGGCUUCAUUGCUUCCAAUAUAGUAUUUUUUUUACCAUGGCAGGUGUAGUUAAUUUUAGAAAAACCAGUUUCUUCCAAAAUGCCUAAUGAGUUUUUAAGAAUAAAACACAAUAGUUCAACUUUAAUUUUAAAAUUUGUGCAUUUAUUUUGGAAGUUAAAUAAGGAACUCAUAAUGCACAUUAAAAGUGUUUUGGCUUUCCCAGGAUGCCUCUACACUAUUUAAUUAAUGCAGUUUGACACCACUUUAACUGUCAAGGCUAAAUGCUAUUGGCCAGCUGCAACAAAUCAACCUGACCAAGAGGUCAUGAGUUCGAGGCCAGCCCAUGCCUGAGUUUGUUUCUGUCUCUGUUCUAUGUUAUGGCAUUGGAUGUUUGCCUAUAUGUGUGCAAUGUGAUCCACCCUGAGUCGCCUUUGAGGUGAGAAGAGUGGAAUAUAAAUACUGUAAAUAAAUAAAUAAAUAAAUAAAUAAAUAUCUGAAGAUUUGUUGUUUGGUGAGACAUUAGCACUAUUUGGCGAGAGGGCUAAAUGCCUUGUAAAACCACAACUUCAGUGACUCCAUAGCACUGAACCAUGGCAGUUAGAGUGGUGUCAAACUGUACUAAUUCUAUGGUGUAGAUACACCAUCAGAGGCUCCUGUUUUUGGCCAGAAAGGGGGCAUUCCAGAAGAGUCUGGUGUAUUGCUAGGAUCAAAAUGGUCAGGGAUACUGUUGUGACUGCACCUUCGGGGAUUAUGGUUGAUGGUGAUGGGAUUCGAAGAGGAAGGAAAAACCCUCGUGAUGAGGGUUCACUGGAGGAGUUGCGCAGGAAGCGACUUAGAGAGCUUAAUGGGGGAUCUUCUGAGGAAGAUUCAGAUGGGGAGUUUGGGGAAGAAAUGGAUGCUGAGGAACAGGUGGUGGCUGGGGAAAUGGGCACUGAAUGGGCACAGCCACCGGAGAUGUCUGGGGAUCUGGGGCCUAUGGAUACUGCUGAACCUGGGGUUUCUGCAGGAGCAGAUCCCACUUGGGAUGCUUGGAGAAGUGAGGAUGGUUCUUUAAGUGUUCAUGGGGCUAAGUGUGGGCAGGAUGAUUGGGACUCCGGCGAACUGUUAAGCACUCCUGAUCCACGAGCCCUAGCUGUGUGGAGUUCGGACUCUGAGUAGAUUUGGGACACCUGGUGUUUGGGUGUGAGUGUUUGGUCACCCAAGAGGAAGGGGAAUAAAAUGGGAAUGUUUGGCCACUGCACUUUGCGUGUGGCAAGGUGUUGCUGAGGCGCCAUUGGGAUCUCUGUGCUUUCGUGAAGACUGGACUUGGACUGUGAUUCGGAUCUGCUGAUACCAUCGUUGCUUGGCUCUUUGUGCCUUUUCGUGGACCUGGUUUGGAUGACUGCACCCUCUUCGGACUCUGGAUUGGAAUUUGACCUGGCUUCUGUCUUCGCCCUCUGACUGACGACUACUCCCGGCUUCUGACUACUGGUUUGCUCUUCGGAAUUUGCUGCUGCCUCCUGACCUGACCUUGGAUUCUCCUGACGACGGCUAUUCAUCAUCCCUUUGAAGCUCUCGGCUUUAUCUGCACCGUGGAAGCAGUUUACUGCACUUCUAGUUUG
Anolis carolinensis (green anole) is the source of this 9321-nucleotide long non-coding RNA. RefSeq lists it as uncharacterized. The record is from RefSeq and is a predicted model, not a curated record. The transcript is spliced from 2 exons. NCBI's taxonomy places the organism in Eukaryota, Metazoa, Chordata, Lepidosauria, Squamata, Anolidae.